UCCCAGGUGGCUUAGUGGUAAAGUAUCUGCCUGCCAAUGUAGGAUACUCAGAAGGCCUGGGUUCGAUCCCUGGGUUGGGAA
Molecule: transfer RNA, 81 nt
Filed under: Ovis aries (sheep)
Lineage: Eukaryota; Metazoa; Chordata; Mammalia; Artiodactyla; Bovidae
Rfam family: tRNA
About the family: Transfer RNA (tRNA) molecules are approximately 80 nucleotides in length. Their secondary structure includes four short double-helical elements and three loops (D, anti-codon, and T loops).
Source: Rfam by way of RNAcentral